Molecule: long non-coding RNA, 3787 nt
Organism: Polyodon spathula (Mississippi paddlefish)
Lineage: Eukaryota; Metazoa; Chordata; Actinopteri; Acipenseriformes; Polyodontidae
Exons: 4
Source: RefSeq, a predicted model, not a curated record
AGAGGGAGAGCGAAUAUUUCAAAGAGACCUAUCUUUUCGGCCCCCCUCCUUUCAGAUGUUUUAAAUAUAUAUAUAUUUAUAGUAUUGCAUAAAUUUGAUUUUUGUUUUACAUCGUCCAAAGCCAGCUUAAAAAAAAAAAAAAAAAGUCAAAAAAUAACAAAAAGAAGUGACGUCACCCAAAUUGCUGCCCCAGAUUUUGCCUGCGAGGAAAAAAGAAGCAAGGCAAAUAAGAUGGCAACAGCUUUAUUUCCAGGGUAAAGGCCGGGCUGCAUUAACACAGCCCAGCUCUGUCAGGCCAUGGUUUAGCGGACAGUGCCGGUGCAGCUGGUCUGCACAUCAGCACUCUCCCUCGCUGGCACUGAUGUGAGAACACAGGGACCUGACACUUCUAUUGGGCAGCAGGCAGGAAUUAUUCUGCCAGCUGGCAGCUGUUGCCAGAAGCUGCAGCCUUUCUCUUGAACCAGCAGCCCUCCCUCGCAGAACCACCACUGCUCACUCCAGCAGACGAGCACAGCACGAAAAUUAGCUGGUUUUUUAUUGUUUAAAGUGUAAUUUCAGGGGGGGGGGUGCGGGAAGCGAGAAGCGGGAGAUCCUCUGUGGCAGCUGCACUGUUAACAAGGAUGUUUAUGUGCAUUUAAUUAAAAAAAAAAAAAUCCUGAAACAAAACAAAACUGGCAGAUGUAAAGCUUCCAAAAACGUGUUAAAUGAUUACCCAGGACGGGAAAAGCCAGGCAUGCAGUACCUGGGACGGGUGCCAGCUGCCGACAAAAGACUCCAGCGCACGCUCAGGAGGAACGUUCUCAUUCCUCUUCUAGAGAAGUGAUCACUUAGAGUAGCUCAGCUUUAAAAUCUGCAGCACGGCUCCGGCGAACACGGGGCACAGAAACGUGUUGUGGAGUCCGCGCCCAAGCGCCGCCAUGACCCCUGUCAGCUUCAGCCAGCAGAGAUCCCCGCCCGAGCACUUCAAAAGCUGCACAGAUUUAUCAUCUACUUCCUGCCUCUCCUCAGAUGAACUUGUCAUUUUUUUUUUUUAUUAUGUUCAGGCUUGCCUGGCUUCCCGCUUGUGUGUCAGGCAAUCAGGGCUUGUCUGGUCAGACAAAAACACAGCCGCACUCCACUCGACAGAGAGCUUAACCACGUACACCAGACUUUGAACUGCAGCAAAGUUAUACUUUAAUGAACAGCAAUGAAGUCGAUCUGUAUUAUUUUUUCUUAUUAUCCAGCACUAAACAGCACCACAAAACCCGACUGGUGUUCUGAAAAGCCUGCUGAUCACUGAAGGAAAGCAGAAAAAGUUUGCUUUGCUCAAAAACACUCCACAGCUGUAUUUUAAUUUCAACAACAAAAAAAAAAGAAAGAAAGAAAGAAAGGCAGAGUCUCAUUUCACCCUCGCUCGCUCACAUGCCCGCUGUGCUCAGUGGCGACACUCUGCACAAUCACAGUUUCGCACAGCUAGUGUGUUCCUGGUAUCGGAUUGCGUUCCGUUGUGGAAUAUUAUAUAUCAGUGCAUUAUAACUGCCAGGUAAUUGUUUGGAAACUACACUGGUGUGAAGAGUGAAGUCAGGUCAAGUCUGUACAGAUCAGUUCAGCAGCCAUGACGUGCGUUUCUCGGCCCUGCAUAUGAAGUGGAGAAACAGUGGCGAGGAAAAGGGCUUGUGAUUCUGGGUUUUCCACAGACUUGUGUUCUUGCCCUACAUGCAGCCAUUGCAAAGACUAUUCUUAUCAUUCCUGAGUGAUCCAACAGGAACCGCAUUACAAUGGGGGCACUUCAACAUUUUCAACAGGUCAAGACCACACCGCCCUGCUAGAAAGAGAACACACCACCGUUUCUGAUUUAAAAACAGCAAUCAGCAAUUCAAUCAAACCACCAGCAGCCAAAUAUCAGCAUUACACCUUAAACAGCACACGAGCAGAGAGCUUUCGGUCUCUGCUGUCCUGGCAGUUCAUAUAGAGUUCUUGUUUAUAGGGGUGGAUAUCAUUCUCACUCCUCUCUCUACCCCCCUGUCAGAGCUACAGUACUGAAUCCUCAGGAGACCACAGGCUGAAGUCAAACGAGGUCACUGUCAGACUAGCUUCCUGUUACAAUCCUUUUUUUUUUUUGCAAGUAGGGCGUUCGCUGUACAGCAACACGAUGACACGGAUCUAACUAGACCAUGUGAAUCAGAUCAUUCACACGGAGAACACGAAGAGCACAGCUCCGUUUAGAGCCUCGUUCGUGCCCAGGGUGGAGGGCAUCAUUUGGAAGAAUUUGGAAAGAAUCGAAAGCCCACUUGGUCAGACCUCCCCCUUUGAAAAGCAAACACCCCGUGGAAGCCCAGCCCAGCAGGGAGAGGAAAGCACACUUCUCUGCCCACAAAAGCAGCUGUGUAAUGGCGGCGCGGAACGCAGCCCAGUGAGAACGGGUUUCAGGGCGCGCUUUGAAAGAGGAAUGGGCUCUUGCUGGGCUGGGUUGGCUCAGCUGUGAUGCUGUCCUUGGGGCUGAGGUAGUAGAUUGAAUAGUUGUGGCGUGUGAGUCGUCCCUCUGAGAUAACUAUACAAUCUACUGUCUUUCCUAAGGAGACAGUCGAAUCACCUGCCAAUGAAGAAGGAAUUCACAGCUCGUCGCGUUUCAGUCAAUGCAGUCUCGUCUUAUUGCUUUGUAACUGAACUUUGAAUCUAUCGUUACUUUGAGACGGGGGGGGGGGUCUUUUGUAAUGAUGUGACCCGCAGGGGCUCGCGUGAACCCCUUUAUUCUCAGAACGGGGGUCUUUAAAUCCCCUACGGUACAGAGGGAUGACCACUUAGUUCAAGGAUCGUUAAAAGCAAUGAACUGUAAAUCCUCUGUAUACCAGAAUUCCUAUAUGUGAAGCCUCGUCUACAGCGAUCAUAAUAACUAGCCUAUUACAGAGCUCCUCCUUUCUACCAUGGAGCCGUGCAUAAUGCAGCAUGGCUGGAGCGCCCCUUUGCCUCAGUGCCAGUACACUAGCACUUUCAUUCUUCUAACUGGGGCUCCCCAGCUACAGUGAUAUAAAGCAGGAGCAUUGUAACCUGUUAAUACUCACAGCAACACUCUGACUUGUUCAUCAUUUCCACUUCAAUUGCAGGGGAGGCGGUUAAUGAUUCCCAACUCGAUUUCAAGUUGUUUAAAAGGAAUGUUACAGACAACACAGAAUGUUAACUGUUUCUAAAUAUAUAUAAAAAAAUAAAAAUAAAAAAAAACAGCGAAGCGUUAAUAGUUACUAAACCAAACCAACCAAGGCAGAUACAAAGAGCUACGUGUAUCUGAGCAUCAAGUGGGAGCCCAGAGGGACAGAAUAGAAAUGCUGCUUUUCUUGCAGGCAGUCUGAGGGCACGAGGGCAGCUACACUGGGUUGAGACGGCUCCCUGGUAACACCUGUGGUGUGUUGAUGCUUCCGCUAGGAGUUCUUCUAACGCACUGCUGUUGGGAAGGGGCAGUCCUUGACUCCCCCUGAAAGCAGGGACCCAGUGGACGAGCACGCGAAGGACGCAUCGGGCAGCGUCCAGGACGGAAGGAAGGUGUGGAGGCUGCAGUGUUCCCGCGGGGUGAGGUAGUAGGUUGUAUAGUUUGGUGGGAGGGAUAGUAUCCCAUUCAGGUGAUAACUAUACAGACUAUUGCCUUCCUUGAGGAGCUCACACGCACACAGAGCAGCAGCGUCAGCAAGGGAACGAGGAGGAAGGAGGCCGCCUCCGGCACAGGACAACUCUCAUUGCUAUAAUGUUAUUAUAAUGAUUAUUGUAUUUACAACGUGUACUGCAAUGCAAGGCAGAAUAAAUAAAUAUAUAAACA